RNAcentral lists this transfer RNA (87 nucleotides) under Cordylochernes scorpioides. Its description in RNAcentral is "tRNA-Tyr". It matches the Rfam family "tRNA". Rfam says of the family: Transfer RNA (tRNA) molecules are approximately 80 nucleotides in length. Their secondary structure includes four short double-helical elements and three loops (D, anti-codon, and T loops). The record is from RNAcentral. Lineage: Eukaryota; Metazoa; Arthropoda; Arachnida; Pseudoscorpiones; Chernetidae.
CCCUCGAUAGCUCAGUUGGCAGAGAGGAGGACUGUAGAUGUUACAACGGUGAUCCUUAGGUCGCUGGUUCAAAUCCGGCUCGAGGGA